UGGACAAUGGGCGCAAGCCUGAUCCAGCCAUGCCGCGUGAGUGAUGAAGGCCCUAGGGUUGUAAAGCUCUUUUGUGCGGGAAGAUAAUGACGGUACCGCAAGAAUAAGCCCCGGCUAACUUCGUGCCAGCAGC
RNAcentral lists this ribosomal RNA (133 nucleotides) under alpha proteobacterium H29. Its description in RNAcentral is "partial 16S ribosomal RNA". It matches the Rfam family "Bacterial small subunit ribosomal RNA", at positions 365 to 515 of the family's 1533-position model. The record is from RNAcentral. Lineage: Bacteria; Pseudomonadati; Pseudomonadota; Alphaproteobacteria.